Molecule: ribosomal RNA, 468 nt
Filed under: uncultured bacterium
Lineage: Bacteria
Description: partial 16S ribosomal RNA
Rfam family: Bacterial small subunit ribosomal RNA
Source: RNAcentral
GACGAACGCUGGCGGCGUGCUUAACACAUGCAAGUCGAACGGAAAGGCCCUGCUUUUGUGGGGUGCUCGCGUCGCGAACGGGUGAGUAACACGUGAGUCACCUGCCCUUGACUUUGGGAUAACUUCAGGCAACUGGGGAUACUACCGGAUAGGAGCUCCUGCUGCAUGGUGGGGGUUGGAACGUUUCGGCGGGUAGGGAUGGACUCGCGGCUUAUCAGCUUGUUGGUGGGGUAGUGGCUUACCCAGGCUUUGACGGGUAGCCGGCACGAGAGGGUGACCGGCCACAUGGGGACUGAGAUACGGACCAGACUCCUACGGGAGGCAGCAGUGGGGAAUAUUGCACAAUGGGCGGAAGCCUGAGGCAGCAACGCCGCGUGCGGGAUGACGGCCUUCGGGUGGGAAACCGCUUUCGCCUGUGACGAAGCGUGAGUGACGGUAAUGGGUAAAGAAGCACCGGCUAACUACGUG